UGCCUUCAAAAAUUUGUUGGC
This 21-nucleotide non-coding RNA is filed under the name Caenorhabditis elegans. The record is from RNAcentral. Lineage: Eukaryota; Metazoa; Nematoda; Chromadorea; Rhabditida; Rhabditidae.